CCUACGGGGGGCUGCAGUGGGGAAUAUUGGGCAAUGGACGCAAGUCUGACCCAGCAACGCCGCGUGAAGGAAGAAGGCUUUCGGGUUGUAAACUUCUUUUAAGGGGGACGAGCAGAAGGCGGUACCCUUUGAAUAAGCCACGGCGAACUACGGCCCAGCCGCCGCGGUAAUACGUAGGUGGCACGUGUUGUCCGGAUUUACUGGGUGUAAAGGGCGUGCAGCGGGAGAGACAAGUCAGAUGUGAAAUCCGCAGGCUCAACCUGGGAACUGCAUUUGAAACUGUUUCCCUUGAGUAUCGGAGAGGUCAUCGGAAUUCCUAGUGUAGCGGUGAAAUGCGUAGAUAUUAGGAGGAACACCAGUGGCGAAGGCGGAUGACUGGACGGCAACUGACGGUGAGGCGCGAAAGCGUGGGGAGCAAACAGGAUUAGAUACCCGGGUAGUC
RNAcentral lists this ribosomal RNA (442 nucleotides) under uncultured bacterium. RNAcentral describes it as "partial 16S ribosomal RNA". It matches the Rfam family "Bacterial small subunit ribosomal RNA", at positions 338 to 795 of the family's 1533-position model. The record is from RNAcentral.